This is a non-coding RNA of Pelobates cultripes (western spadefoot toad), 390 nucleotides long. The record is from the annotation of a GenBank genome assembly. Lineage: Eukaryota; Metazoa; Chordata; Amphibia; Anura; Pelobatidae.
GCUUCGGGUAGUUUUAAGUAUUACAAUUGCAGGGGUGCCUUAAUAGAGAAUCGUAUACGACAAGCCAGUCUUAUAGUCACCUAAACAACUUUAGCUUAAUGAAGCUGUUUUAGUGUAUAGAUCAUGCCUCGGGUUUCACUGCUCAAUUCUCUGCCAUUUAAGAGUUAAAUCACUUUGUUUCUGUUUAUGCACCCCUUGCCACACCUCCCCUGGCUCUGAUUUGACACAGUCUGCAUGAAAAAAAAAACUGGUUUCACGUUCAAUCAGAUGUAAUUUACCUUAAACAAUUUUCUCUUUCUCUGUAAUUUGAACUUUAACCCUUAAGGACGCAAGCAAUUUUUGCAUUUUUUUGCGGUUUGUGUUCAACUGCAAUUUGCAUCUCUCUCAUUU